This 448-nucleotide ribosomal RNA is filed under the name uncultured bacterium. RNAcentral describes it as "bacterial SSU rRNA". It matches the Rfam family "Bacterial small subunit ribosomal RNA", at positions 330 to 793 of the family's 1533-position model. The record is from RNAcentral.
UCCAGACUCCUACGGGAGGCAGCAGUGGGGAAUAUUGGGCAAUGGGCGCAAGCCUGACCCAGCAACGCCGCGUGAAGGAAGAAGGCUUUCGGGUUGUAAACUUCUUUUAAGAGGGAAGAGUAGAAGACGGUACCUCUUGAAUAAGCCACGGCUAACUACGUGCCAGCAGCCGCGGUAAUACGUAGGUGGCAAGCGUUGUCCGGAUUUACUGGAUGUAAAGGGCGUGUAGCCGGGCCGGCAAGUCAGAUGUGAAAUCCCAAGGCUCAACCUUGGAACUGCAUUUGAAACUGUUGGUCUUGAGUAUCGGAGAGGCAGGCGGAAUUCCUAGUGUAGCGGUGAAAUGCGUAGAUAUUAGGAGGAACACCAGUGGCGAAGGCGGCCUGCUGGACGACAACUGACGGUGAGGCGCGAAAGCGUGGGGAGCAAGCAGGAUUAGAUACCCUUGUAG